CACACCGCCCGUCACACCAUGGGAGUGGGUUUCACCAGAAGUAGGUAGCCUAACCGCAAGGAGGGCGCUUACCAUGGUGAGAUUCAUGACUGGGGUG
Molecule: ribosomal RNA, 97 nt
Filed under: uncultured bacterium
Lineage: Bacteria
Description: partial 16S ribosomal RNA
Rfam family: Bacterial small subunit ribosomal RNA
Source: RNAcentral